RNAcentral lists this ribosomal RNA (478 nucleotides) under uncultured bacterium. Its description in RNAcentral is "bacterial SSU rRNA". It matches the Rfam family "Bacterial small subunit ribosomal RNA", at positions 30 to 503 of the family's 1533-position model. The record is from RNAcentral.
UGAACGCUGGCGGCAGGCCUAACACAUGCAAGUCGAGCGGAUGACGGGAGCUUGCUCCUUGAUUCAGCGGCGGACGGGUGAGUAAUGCCUAGGAAUCUGCCUGGUAGUGGGGGACAACGUUUCGAAAGGAACGCUAAUACCGCAUACGUCCUACGGGAGAAAGCAGGGGACCUUCGGGCCUUGCGCUAUCAGAUGAGCCUAGGUCGGAUUAGCUAGUUGGUGAGGUAAUGGCUCACCAAGGCGACGAUCCGUAACUGGUCUGAGAGGAUGAUCAGUCACACUGGAACUGAGACACGGUCCAGACUCCUACGGGAGGCAGCAGUGGGGAAUAUUGGACAAUGGGCGAAAGCCUGAUCCAGCCAUGCCGCGUGUGUGAGGAAGGUCUUCGGAUUGUAAAGCACUUUAAGUUGGGAGGAAGGGUUGUAGAUUAAUACUCUGCAAUUUUGACGUUACCGACAGAAUAAGCACCGGCUAACUC